GACGAACGCUGGCGGCGUGCCUAAUACAUGCAAGUUGAGCGAUGAAGAUUGGUGCUUGCACCAAUUUGAAGAGCAGCGAACGGGUGAGUAACGCGUGGGGAAUCUGCCUUUGAGCGGGGACAACAUUUGGAAACGAAUGCUAAUACCGCAUAACAACUUUAAACAUAAGUUUUAAGUUUGAAAGAUGCAAUUGCAUCACUCAAAGAUGAUCCCGCGUUGUAUUAGCUAGUUGGUGAGGUAAAGGCUCACCAAGGCGAUGAUACAUAGCCGACCUGAGAGGGUGAUCGGCCACAUUGGGACUGAGACACGGCCCAAACUCCUACGGGAGGCAGCAGUAGGGAAUCUUCGGCAAUGGACGAAAGUCUGACCGAGCAACGCCGCGUGAGUGAAGAAGGUUUUCGGAUCGUAAAACUCUGUUGGUAGAGAAGAACGUUGGUGAGAGUGGAAAGCUCAUCAAGUGACGGUAACUACCCAGAAAGGGACGGCUAACUACGUG
RNAcentral lists this ribosomal RNA (496 nucleotides) under uncultured bacterium. RNAcentral describes it as "partial 16S ribosomal RNA". It matches the Rfam family "Bacterial small subunit ribosomal RNA", at positions 28 to 507 of the family's 1533-position model. The record is from RNAcentral.